GAUGAACGCUGACAGAAUGCUUAACACAUGCAAGUCAUUGGCGAAGCUGCGCUUGCGCAGUCUAGCCAAGGCGGACGGGUGAGUAACGCGUAAGGAACUUGCCCUGCAGACAGGGAUAACAGACGGAAACGACUGAUAACCCCUGGUAUUGUCAGGCUGGCGCAUGCCGGCCUGAUGAAAGGAGACGCUGCAGGAGAGCCUUGGGUCCUAUUAGCUAGUUGGUGGGGUAACGGCCCACCAAGGCGAUGAUAGGUAGCCGGCCUGAGCGGGGGAACGGCCACAAGGGGACUGAGAUACGGCCCUUACUCCUACGGGAGGCAGCAGUGGGGAAUAUUGGACAAUGGGGGCAACCCUGAUCCAGCAAUUCUGUGUGCACGAAGAAGGUUUUCGGAUUGUAAAGUGCUUUCAGCAGGGAAGAAGAAAGUGACGGUACCUGCAGAAGAAGCGACGGCUAAAUACGUG
This 462-nucleotide ribosomal RNA is filed under the name uncultured bacterium. Its description in RNAcentral is "partial 16S ribosomal RNA". It matches the Rfam family "Bacterial small subunit ribosomal RNA", at positions 28 to 507 of the family's 1533-position model. The record is from RNAcentral.